Non-coding RNA from Callorhinus ursinus (northern fur seal), 652 nucleotides. NCBI's taxonomy places the organism in Eukaryota, Metazoa, Chordata, Mammalia, Carnivora, Otariidae. The record is from RefSeq and is a predicted model, not a curated record.
AGCGGGCGCCUGGGUGUGCGCGCAGGAAGAUGGCUGAGCAGGUGCCGAAGUCUGUGCUCUUCGUGUGUCUGGGUAACAUCUGUCGGUCACCCAUUGCAGAAGCAGUUUUCAGAAAACUUGUAACUGAUCAAAAGCUUUCAGAUCAUUGGAGGAUAGACAGUGCAGUGACAUCCACGUAUGAAAUAGGAAACCCUCCUGAUUAUCGAGGGCAGAGUUGCAUGGAGAAGCAUGGUAUCCCCAUGAAUCACACUGCCCGGCAGGUUACCAAGGAAGAAUUUGCCACAUUUGAUUAUAUACUGUGUAUGGAUGAAAGCAAUCUGAGAGACUUGAAUAGAAAAAGUAAUCAAAUUAAAAACUGCAAAGCUAAAAUUGACCUACUUGGGAGCUAUGAUCCACAAAAUCAACUCAUUAUUGAAGACCCCUAUUAUGGGAAUGAGUCUGACUUUGAGACUGUUUACCAGCAGUGUGUGAGGUGCUGCAGAGCCUUCCUGGAGAAGGCCCGCUAAUGUCACGCCCGUUCUCCCCACAGCCCCCGGCUGGGCCCCACAGGCUCUGCUGUGAGGCCGCAACUGUUUCUUCAGUUGACCCUCGGUUUCUUACCUUAAAUAAUUGUAAAUGGAAAUCAGUUAUUGUAUCUGACAGACAAAUAAAU